RNAcentral lists this ribosomal RNA (684 nucleotides) under Hebeloma minus. RNAcentral's name for it is "eukaryotic LSU rRNA". Lineage: Eukaryota; Fungi; Basidiomycota; Agaricomycetes; Agaricales; Hymenogastraceae. The record is from RNAcentral.
AAGGUUUCCGUAGGUGAACCUGCGGAAGGAUCAUUAUUGAAUGAACUUGGUGUGGUUGUCGCUGGCCCUCUUGGGGGCAUGUGCACACCUACCAUCCUCAUCUCUCCACCUGUGCACCUCUUGUAGAUUUGGAAUUGAUUAUCCGAGGCAACUCGGUCGUGAGGACUGCUAGCACUUWGCUGGCUUUCUUUGCAAUUCCAGGUCUAUGUUUUUCAUAUACCCCAUUGUAUGUAACAGAAUGUAUCAUUGGGCCCUUGUGCCUAUAAACCUUAUACAACUUUCAGCAACGGAUCUCUUGGCUCUCGCAUCGAUGAAGAACGCAGCGAAAUGCGAUAAGUAAUGUGAAUUGCAGAAUUCAGUGAAUCAUCGAAUCUUUGAACGCACCUUGCGCUCCUUGGUAUUCCGAGGAGCAUGCCUGUUUGAGUGUCAUUAAAUUCUCAACCAUUAUCAACUUUUGCUGAUAAUGGCUUGGAUGUGGGGGUCUAUUUUGCUGGCUUCUCAGAUAGUCAGCUCCCCUUAAAUGCAUUAGCCGGUGCCCCGCGUGGACUGUCUAUUGGUGUGAUAAUUAUCUACGCUAUAGACAUCUGCAAUUAUAUGGGUUUGCGCUGCUUCUAACAGUCUGUUGAUUCAGACAAUACAUGACAAUUUGACCUCAAAUCAGGUAGGACUACCCGCUGAACUUAA